UGAACCAAUGAUGAUGACAAGUGGCAUAUGGGUCAUGGAUGGUGAAUAAGAUGUGCCUGGAACUCUGAGGUCCAA
Equus asinus (donkey) is the source of this 75-nucleotide small nucleolar RNA. Lineage: Eukaryota; Metazoa; Chordata; Mammalia; Perissodactyla; Equidae. The record is from Ensembl.